Triticum aestivum (bread wheat) is the source of this 724-nucleotide long non-coding RNA. RefSeq lists it as uncharacterized. NCBI's taxonomy places the organism in Eukaryota, Viridiplantae, Streptophyta, Magnoliopsida, Poales, Poaceae. The record is from RefSeq and is a predicted model, not a curated record. The transcript is spliced from 3 exons.
UCAAUAUAUAACUAACUGCUGGAACUUCUGCAUCUAGAUUUAGAAGUAUUUUAUAGUGUACUUUAUGCCAAAAGUAUGAGUGGCCUGCUUCCAUCGAUCUACCUAUAACCGUUCGAUGAAAAGAUGUGCUUUUGUAGCUCCCCAGACGCGCAUGCUUCUUCUCCCGGAUCUUCCACCGAUGCCCUCAAAAUAGAAAAAAGGAAAAGAAAACAUUCUCGAUGAUGAGCUUCGAUCAGUAAGGGGAACUCACCACGUUCACCAUCACAAGGAGUAGCAGCUGCACAUGUUCCUCCUGAGACCUCUCCAUGUCAUACGAAUUAUGCAUCUCCACGGCACCAACUUCCCAUGUUUGUUUCUACAACACUGCCUGGGCUCAUGCACUCUGCACUGAUGGUCGGAUUGCAGACGGAAAAUACCCAAACAUUCUACGGGUGUGAGGAGGGAUACGAGGAGGCGGCGGCAGAUGUUAUCCACAAGGAGUGCAAGCUCCUACUUCAGAACUGACGGCAUGAGGCUCGGGUGUAGUCUGUUCGAGACUACUACGCCGACCGUGGUAUCAAGAAGUCCAAGCAGGAUUGCCGCGAUAUUUUCUUGAGUAAGGAGCAGUACAUGAAGGCCCCUCAGAGAUGGUGUGCGGAUCGGAUGGAUUGUUGGGAGGUGUUGGUCAAUGGGUGGUGCUCAAAAGAAUGGCUGGCCACCCACAACGAGGCCAAGGACAAACGUG